AGGUGAACUUUGCCCAGAUUAGACUUGUAAUUGUUAGUCACUGGGUAAAGUUUGUCCGUUG
This 61-nucleotide microRNA precursor is filed under the name Daphnia pulex (common water flea). Its description in RNAcentral is "Dpu-Mir-3_pre stem-loop". The record is from RNAcentral. Lineage: Eukaryota; Metazoa; Arthropoda; Branchiopoda; Diplostraca; Daphniidae.